UUUUCCUGGGCUGUACAGAGACUCAUUACCCUUUAUCCUCUAAAGUCCUUUCUGUUUACUUAGUUCCUCAACCGCCUCGUCUCACUGUCUUCUUGUAGCAUAACUCUGUGGCUCUUCCUCUUUUAAUUGAGAAAGAAGCAAGACCUGGAGAGAAUAACAUGCUGAAUUGCACAGCCAGGACUUGACACAGCAGCCUCUGCUGUUUUCUGGAAGCUCUGAGAAGGUGGUUCCUACAGUUCACAUCACCCAACACAUUAUCACAAUAAUUUAUAGCCGGGAUACUCCUCCAUCUGACUGUGCUGCCUUAGUCCUCAGGUUUAUGCCCCAGCCCCAAACACAAUUCCAGGCACAAAAGAAGUGCUCAGUAAAUACCUGUGAAAUGAAAAA
Long non-coding RNA from Callithrix jacchus (white-tufted-ear marmoset), 387 nucleotides. RefSeq lists it as uncharacterized. The record is from RefSeq and is a predicted model, not a curated record. Lineage: Eukaryota; Metazoa; Chordata; Mammalia; Primates; Cebidae.